Molecule: unclassified non-coding RNA, 363 nt
Filed under: uncultured bacterium
Lineage: Bacteria
Description: contains 16S-23S intergenic spacer region
Source: RNAcentral
UCCCCGUUACCGGGGCAGUCUGAAUAGAAAAAUACAACUAUUCACAGGGGUUGCGCUCGUUGAAGGACUUAACCUAACAUCUCACGACACGAGCUGACGACGGCCAUGCAACACCUGUCACUUGGCUCCCGAAGGCACUCACUGCUUUCGCAGUAAUUCCAAGGAUGUCAAGUCUGGGUAAGGUUCUUGGCUUAGCAUCCAAUUAAACAACACGCUCCACCGCUUGUGCGGGUCCCCGUCAAUUCCUUUGAGUUUCAGCCUUGCGGCCGUACUCCCCAGGCGGGGCACUUAAUGCGUUAGCGCCGGCACCCAGGGGGUCGCUCCCCCAGGCACCUAGUGCCCAUCGUUUACGGCGUGGACUAC